Meloidogyne enterolobii is the source of this 109-nucleotide non-coding RNA. NCBI's taxonomy places the organism in Eukaryota, Metazoa, Nematoda, Chromadorea, Rhabditida, Meloidogynidae. The record is from the annotation of a GenBank genome assembly.
GCAUUAGUCGAUGCCACGGUAGCUCAGUGGUAGAGCUCCUGCAUAUGGUGAGCGAAAGCGCCUAGCGAUAAAUGUCAGGAGGUCGCAGGUUCAAUCCUGCCCGGCUGCU